ACAAUAUUUAAGGAAUAAAAUGGCACCACAUAUGGUUUAAAUAGACCAAAAUAUGAUAUCAAACGCCGGUUUACAAAAUGGACAGUGACAGCGUCCAAACAAGAUGGCGGAUGCGAAUUACACUUGACAAGUAAGUUGAGUUCAAUAAAAUGAGAAAAACUGCAUUAAAUGCAUUUACAAAAACAACCCCAUUUAGCCAUCAGGCUUAAACAACAACAUAUUAUAUUAAUAAAGGGUGGCCUGUUCCAACUUAUAUAACUAAUAUAAGCAAAAUCUUAAAUAGCAGCAAGUAAAUAAUUACGUUUGUCCCAGUAAUAAAACCACAUUUCAAUAUUGGUUAUGGUAUAACCGUUAUAUAAAUAUAUUAAUUAUGCCUCAUUGAACUUGAGCAAAUGCUAAGUUACGUAAGAAUAAAUAACAUCAUUCAUUUGACCACAGUAACAUACAAUAAGAAUAAAUAUCAUGACAUUAUUCAUUGGAAUAAUGUUAUUCAACUGUUAAAUAAAUACAAUGUAAUAUAUUAAUUAGAUAAUUAUAUUUGUGACAAGUUACACUUGUUACAUUCAUCCCCCUGUACCUUAAAGAAACUUGUUUACUUAUAUCUAUUGAAAUGAUACAUUUUAAAAUUUGAUUCAUGUCUUGUUAUUGGUUGAACUUGACAUUGUUAUUUAUUAUACAUGUUAAAAUGAUAUUUCCAUCCCCUCUAUCACAGUCAGGAGUUCGUCUGUAGAUGUGUCCCGAUGCACGAAAGUUUGUUCUACCAUCUGAAGGAUGAGUUGUUUUGUGUUCCUUCCUUUCACCAUAUCGGAUAACAGGCAAUAGUUGGAGAUUCGCAUUCUUCUUUCGGAGCUGGUCCGCGGUUGGGGAAUGGUGCCAGGAAAAAUUAAAAAGUUGAACUUAUCCAUGAUUUGAUCAGGAUCUGUUACUGGAAUCCCUUCUACUGAGUCCAACAUGUUGGCCACAUGUUGGGCAACCGCCAACCUUUUUGCCGGGCUCAUCAGCCGCCAGGCUUUUGGGGGCCAGUCCAUAGUGAAAGAGGGGCCCUUGAAUUGGACGGUUGGCAACCGGUCCCAGUUCCGCCUUGCCGGAGGAACUAGUGGCAUGCAACCCCAUGUCAGGAGGUGAAGAGCCCUCUACUGUAGGGUCAUUUCCUCCUGCAUGUGUUUAUUCUGUUCCUUCAGCAGCGGCGUCUAUGGGAGAAAUGUCUCCACGGGUGGCCUUGUCGGGGCUGAGUUGAAUGAGAAGGCCGGUCCCUCGAUUGGCGUAGCAGUGUAUACUGUGGUCUCUUCCAUUUUUGGUAAUGGUACAGGGAGUCUUCCUCCAGUGGGGAGCAUGGCCGGCUUGGUAGGGCUAUAAGCUUCAACCCCAGGAGUUGGACUCCCUGAUUCUUGUAUGGUUGGGGUGUCUGCUGUUUUCCCCUCCACUAACUUCCAGCCCGCCUCCCAGUGUUCCAUUUUCUUAAGUUUUGGGGCCUGUGAAGUCUCCCGCCACACCUUUACUGCUUCCAUUGCCUCAUUGGCCGCCUGGGUUGUGAAUACGAGAGGUUUUACAACCUUGCUGUAGUCCUUGGGAUAUAGAGCUAGAUAAAAUGCUGCGGCCUCCGUAAAGAUGUCCUGAUUUAAGCCAUCAGCAAUGGCCUUGGCCAGCGCCCAACUUGUCGCUUCAAAUCAUAUGGGCGACUCAUAAUGGUUGGCACAUCCUCUACACACCAUGGGCAAAUUAUGUCCAACCGUUGGUGUUCCGUCCCAACAUGGCGUUCAAGCGCUUUUCUUAAAUGUAGAGCCGCAGGGCAUAACCAGCAAAGUUGCUGUAGAAUCUGUAAUGUUGUAAAUAUUAUACAUGUAAAAUGUUAGUCUUGUUUUUUUUUCAUUAAAAGACUAGUUUUCUUUUAAAUAUUGGUCAUUGCAAUCCGUUUCAUUAUACUAUAAUGUUUAAAUGCUAAAAUGUUUGUAUAUUUAGCAUGAGGUCAAUUCAAAAAGUCAUUGUACAUUGCAUAGUUAUAAUAGUUUUGCCUGGUGAUCACUGUUCGUAAUAUAAUAAUUUCGAUUUUUCAGGAAAUCCUUCAUCUGAUGGAAUUAUACACUUCCUCAAGGAAUAUUUUCUCCUUGAACCACGAUGGCCGUCUUAACAACAAGUGUUGCACAUAUUUAUGUGUGUCUUCUUGGGAAGUUGAUUCUUCUUCCGGUGUGCCGAUGACAACAGCCAUGGGCAACAGAACCUCUUUUCCAAAAAACAUUUUGUUUGGUGUGAGCCCAGUGCUGGCAUGAGGUGAAGACCUGAAGUGGUCCAGUAACAUCCACGCAGACCUUCUCGAUUGCGUUGUAUACUGGAUUUUGCCAUAGUGGAGCCCUGGCCUUGGGUGCUGGUUUCCGAGCAGCACAAACAUCACAUUGGUGGAUGUACUUUUGAAGGUCAUCUUUCAACGCUGACCAAUAACAACAGUCUGGAUUACACCCGAGACGAGCUGCACAGGCUGAUUUUGAGCGACUGGUUCAACUAAGGCUACUGGUGCCAAGUGUUCCUGACUAGGGAUUUUUACAGACACCCACAUGCUGCUAUGUGCCGUUGAGUUGCUUGAUGGCUGCUGCUGGGCCUUUUUUGGUGCCAUCAACGAAGACCCUACUGGGUUGACGGCCUGCCGUUUUCCGGUAAACCUACGACAGUCGGCUGUGUGUACGGUGCCUGGUGAGGUGCUGGAUACCCCAUCCUCUGUGGUGCCUGAUAACCCAUUGAACGCUGGCUGUUGUAGGCAGGUCGCUGACGCGUAGGGCAGUCUCGAAUCAUAUGUUGUGGCGACUGACAGUUAUAGCACAGUCUGGGACCAGACCUUGCAUAACUGUAUGGAGGCUUGUUGUUUGUGGAUUGAUCCAUUAUCAGCUUCCGCACACAUUCUUGUAGGUCUUGUACCGCCUUCUCGAGUGGCUGACUCGACUUGUCGACUUUCGCUUGCUGUUCCGGCACAUUUUCCACCAUAUAAAUGGAUGCUUUACGUCUAGCACCGCCGUCCAAGAUGCUCUCGUACAUCUCCACUAGAGCAAUCGCCUGCGUAACAGACUGGCAACCCUCGCUGAUACACUUGAACUUGAGUUCUAGGCUGAUCGAUUUGUACAACUGGUUAAGCGCAAGCAUGUCAUGAUUAAAUUCUAUACACAAAAUGAUUACCUUUAAUAAAGAAUUAUAUUGUGU
Molecule: long non-coding RNA, 3186 nt
Organism: Dreissena polymorpha
Lineage: Eukaryota; Metazoa; Mollusca; Bivalvia; Myida; Dreissenidae
Exons: 5
Source: RefSeq, a predicted model, not a curated record